GACGAACGCUGGCGGCGUGCUUAACACAUGCAAGUCGAACGGAAAGGCCCUGUUCUUGUGGGGUGCUCGAGUGGCGAACGGGUGUGUAACACGUGAGUAACCUGCGCUUGACUGUGGGAGAACUCCAGGAAACUGGGGUGAAUAUCGGACAGGAGCUCCUUCUGCAUGGUGGGGGUUGGUAAGUUUCGGCGGUUGGGGAUGGACGGGAGGUAUAUCAGCGUGUUGGUGGGGUAGUGGCUUACCAAGGCAUUGACGGGUAGCCGGCCUGGGAGGGUGACCGGCCACAUUGGGACUGAGAUGCGGGCAAGACUGCUACGGGAGGCAGGAGUGGAAGAUAUUGCAAGAUGGGCGGAAGGCUGAUGCAGGGACGCCGCGUGCGGGAUGACGGCCUUCGGGUUGUAACCCGCGUUCGCGUGGGAAGAACAGUGAGUGACGGUAAUGGGUAAGGAAGCAACGGCUAACUACGUG
RNAcentral lists this ribosomal RNA (468 nucleotides) under uncultured bacterium. RNAcentral's name for it is "partial 16S ribosomal RNA". It matches the Rfam family "Bacterial small subunit ribosomal RNA", at positions 28 to 507 of the family's 1533-position model. The record is from RNAcentral.